GACGGGACCCGCACAAGCGGUGGAUGAUGUGGAUUAAUUCGAUGCAACGCGAAGAACCUUACCUACCCUUGACAUGUCUGGAAUCCCGAAGAGAUUUGGGAGUGCUCGCAAGAGAACCGGAACACAGGUGCUGCAUGGCUGUCGUCAGCUCGUGUCGUGAGAUGUUGGGUUAAGUCCCGCAACGAGCGCAACCCUUGUCAUUAGUUGCUACGAAAGGGCACUCUAAUGAGACUGCCGGUGACAAACCGGAGGAAGGUGGGGAUGACGUCAAGUCCUCAUGGCCCUUAUGGGUAGGGCUUCACACGUCAUACAAUGGUCGGGACAGAGGGUCGCCAACCCGCGAGGGGGAGCCAAUCCCAGAAACCCGACCGUAGUCCGGAUUGUAGUCUGCAACUCGACUACAUGAAGUCGGAAUCGCUAGUAAUCGCGGAUCAGCAUGUCGCGGUGAAUACGUUCCCGGGUCUU
Molecule: ribosomal RNA, 465 nt
Filed under: uncultured Bordetella sp.
Lineage: Bacteria; Pseudomonadati; Pseudomonadota; Betaproteobacteria; Burkholderiales; Alcaligenaceae
Description: bacterial SSU rRNA
Rfam family: Bacterial small subunit ribosomal RNA
Source: RNAcentral